Molecule: ribosomal RNA, 497 nt
Filed under: uncultured bacterium
Lineage: Bacteria
Description: partial 16S ribosomal RNA
Rfam family: Bacterial small subunit ribosomal RNA
Source: RNAcentral
GACGAACGCUGGCGGCGUGCCUAAUACAUGCAAGUAGAACGCUGAAGAGAGGAGCUUGCUCUUCUUGGAUGAGUUGCGAACGGGUGAGUAACGCGUAUGUAACCUGCCUUGUAGCGGGGGAUAACUAUUGGAAACGAUAGCUAAUACCGCAUAACAAUGGAUGACACAUGUCAUUUAUUUGAAAGUGGCAAUUGUUCCACUACAAGAUGGACCUGCGUUGUAUUAGCUAGUAGGUGAGGUAAUGGCUCACCUAGGCGACGAUACAUAGCCGACCUGGGAGGGUGAUCGGCCAAACUGGGAAUGGGAAAAGGCCCAGACUCCUACGGGAGGCAGCAGCAGGGAAUCUUCGGCAAUGGGGGCAACCCUGACCGAGCAACGCCGCGUGAGUGAAGAAGGUUUUCGGAUCGUAAAGCUCUGUUGUAAGUCAAGAACGGGUGUGAGAGUGGAAAGUUCACACUGUGACGGUAGCUUACCAGAAAGGGACGGCUAACUACGUG